AUGCACGCUAGCUACAGGCUUAACACAUGCAAGUCGAGGGGAAACGGCAUCGAAAGCUUGCUUUUGAUGGGCGUCGACCGGCGCACGGGUGAGUAACGCGUAUCCAACCUGCCCAUCACUUGGGAAUAACCUUGCGAAAGUAAGACUAAUGCCCAAUGACAUCCCACGAAGGCAUCCGAAUGGGAUUAAAGAUUUAUCGGUGAUGGAUGGGGAUGCGUCUGAUUAGCUUGUUGGCGGGGUGACGGCCCACCAAGGCAACGAUCAGUAGGGGUUCUGAGAGGAAGGUCCCCCACAUUGGAACUGAGACACGGUCCAAACUCCUACGGGAGGCAGCAGUGAGGAAUAUUGGUCAAUGGGCGAGAGCCUGAACCAGCCAAGUAGCGUGCAGGAUGACGGCCCUAUGGGUUGUAAACUGCUUUUAUAAGGGAAUAAAGUGGGUCACGUGUGACUUUUUGCAUGUACCUUAUGAAUAAGGACCGGCUAAUUCCGUG
Molecule: ribosomal RNA, 491 nt
Filed under: uncultured bacterium
Lineage: Bacteria
Description: partial 16S ribosomal RNA
Rfam family: Bacterial small subunit ribosomal RNA
Source: RNAcentral